GGUGGCAAGCGUUGUCCGGAUUUACUGGGCGUAAAGGGCGUGCAGGCGGUUUGUUAAGUUCAGGGUGAAAGCUCCCGGCUCAACUGGGAGAGGUCCUUGGAUACUGGCAGACUUGAGGAGGGUAGAGGAGAGUGGAAUUCCCGGUGUAGUGGUGAUAUGCGUAGAUAUCGGGAGGAACACCAGUGGCGAAGGCGGCUCUCUGGGCCCUACCUGACGCUGAGACGCGAAAGCGUGGGGAGCGAACAGG
RNAcentral lists this ribosomal RNA (247 nucleotides) under uncultured bacterium. RNAcentral's name for it is "partial 16S ribosomal RNA". It matches the Rfam family "Bacterial small subunit ribosomal RNA", at positions 530 to 776 of the family's 1533-position model. The record is from RNAcentral.